This 680-nucleotide ribosomal RNA is filed under the name uncultured bacterium. RNAcentral describes it as "bacterial SSU rRNA". It matches the Rfam family "Bacterial small subunit ribosomal RNA", at positions 111 to 807 of the family's 1533-position model. The record is from RNAcentral.
UAACGCGUGAGGAACCUGCCUCAAAGAGGGGGACAACAGUUGGAAACGACUGCUAAUACCGCGUAAGCCCACGGCUCGGCAUCGAGCAGAGGGAAAAGGAGCAAUCCACUUUGAGAUGGCCUCGCGUCCGAUUAGCUAGUUGGUGAGGUAACGGCCCACCAAGGCGACGAUCGGUAGCCGGACUGAGAGGUUGAACGGCCACAUUGGGACUGAGACACGGCCCAGACUCCUACGGGAGGCAGCAGUGGGGAAUAUUGCACAAUGGGGGAAACCCUGAUGCAGCGACGCCGCGUGGAGGAAGAAGGUCUUCGGAUUGUAAACUCCUGUUGUUGAGGAAGAUAAUGACGGUACUCAACAAGGAAGUGACGGCUAACUACGUGCCAGCAGCCGCGGUAAAACGUAGGUCACAAGCGUUGUCCGGAAUUACUGGGUGUAAAGGGAGCGCAGGCGGGAGAACAAGUUGGAAGUGAAAUCCAUGGGCUCAACCCAUGAACUGCUUUCAAAACUGUUUUUCUUGAGUAGUGCAGAGGUAGGCGGAAUUCCCGGUGUAGCGGUGGAAUGCGUAGAUAUCGGGAGGAACACCAGUGGCGAAAGCGGCCUACUGGGCACCAACUGACGCUGAGGCUCGAAAGUGUGGGUAGCAAACAGGAUUAGAUACCCUGGUAGUCCACACCGUAAAC